This 377-nucleotide ribosomal RNA is filed under the name uncultured bacterium. RNAcentral describes it as "bacterial SSU rRNA". It matches the Rfam family "Bacterial small subunit ribosomal RNA", at positions 523 to 898 of the family's 1533-position model. The record is from RNAcentral.
AAACGUAGGUGGCAAGCGUUAUCCGGAUUCACUGGGCGUAAAGCGCCUGCAGGCGGUCCUGUAAGUGGGACGUGAAAUCUCUCGGCUCAACUGGGAGAGGUCGUUCCAUACUGCGGGACUGGAGGGCAGAAGAGGGAAGCGGAAUUCCCGGUGUAGUGGUGAAAUGCGUAGAUAUCGGGAGGAACACCAGUGGCGAAGGCGGCUUCCUGGCCUGUUCCUGACGCUAAGAAGCGAAAGCUAGGGGAGCGAACGGGAUUAGAAACCCCGGUAGUCCUAGCCGUAAACGAUGGAUACUAGGUGUCGGUGGUCCUAACCCCAUCGGUGCCGAAGCUAACGCGUUAAGUAUCCCGCCUGGGGACUACGGCCGCAAGGUUAAA